RNAcentral lists this ribosomal RNA (450 nucleotides) under uncultured bacterium. RNAcentral's name for it is "bacterial SSU rRNA". It matches the Rfam family "Bacterial small subunit ribosomal RNA", at positions 29 to 524 of the family's 1533-position model. The record is from RNAcentral.
AACGAACGCUGGCGGCAUGCCUAACACAUGCAAGUCGAACGCCCUCUUCGGAGGGAGUGGCGCACGGGUGCGUAACGCGUGGGAACCUGCCCUUAGGUUCGGAAUAACUCAGAGAAAUUUGAGCUAAUACCGGAUAAUGUCUUCGGACCAAAGAUUUAUCGCCUUUGGAUGGGCCCGCGUUGGAUUAGCUAGUAGGUGGGGUAAAGGCCUACCAAGGCGACGAUCCAUAGCUGGUCUGAGAGGAUGAUCAGCCACACUGGGACUGAGACACGGCCCAGACUCCUACGGGAGGCAGCAGUGGGGAAUAUUGGACAAUGGGCGAAAGCCUGAUCCAGCAAUGCCGCGUGAGUGAUGAAGGCCUUAGGGUUGUAAAGCUCUUAUACUGGGGAUGAUAAUGACAGUACCUAGAGAAUAAGCUCCGGCUAACUCCGUGCCAGCAGCCGCGGUAAU